This is a long non-coding RNA of Manis pentadactyla (Chinese pangolin), 605 nucleotides long. RefSeq lists it as uncharacterized. The record is from RefSeq and is a predicted model, not a curated record. NCBI's taxonomy places the organism in Eukaryota, Metazoa, Chordata, Mammalia, Pholidota, Manidae. The transcript is spliced from 2 exons.
GAGAAAUGCGCCAUAUAGGACGCCAUUUCUGGAAGAAAUGCGAUACAUCGAGGUAGAAACAUUCCAACAACGGGAAUAUAUUUUUACAGAAGUGUGUUCGCAUGAAGAAGUGUUGGGGAAAUAAGCAUUUAUUGUUUUUGUGGGCGGAUACCGCUUAUCAGCGUAAACUGGCUGCUGAGGGAUUCCACGGGCAACCACGCUCCCACCCUUCCGCCGGGUGUCAAUCUGCCCUAGCCACGCCCCAGGGCGGACCCAACCUCAGCCACGCCCACGCCUUGGCUAAAGAGGGACGGCGACUGGGCCCAAUCGCGUCCCAGCGGCCUAGAAUUUCUCUGCUCAGCGAUUGGAGGACCAGGGUUCCCUGAGGCGCCACCAAUCCUGAGCCCCGGACCAGCCCCUCUUCCGCUCCCGGCAGCCCCGGGACCGAAAGCGGAAGCACUGAUCUGGGAGCUGGGAGCCCCAGGCCCCCAAUCUGUAGUGUGAGCGGCGCUGUUUCCAUGUCCACUGCGAGAAAUCGAAUCUUCCAGGCGGAGGAGGAUGUUUCCAUCUUACUGAUGGGACUUCAGUCACACGCUGCGCUUUUAACGGACAGAGGUUUCCACGAC